CUAUCAUGCAGUCGAGCGGACAGAAGGGAGCUUGCUCCCGGAUGUUAGCGGCGGACGGGUGAGUAACACGUGGGUAACCUGCCUGUAAGACUGGGAUAACUCCGGGAAACCGGAGCUAAUACCGGAUAGUUCCUUGAACCGCAUGGUUCAAGGAUGAAAGACGGUUUCGGCUGUCACUUACAGAUGGACCCGCGGCGCAUUAGCUAGUUGGUGAGGUAACGGCUCACCAAGGCGACGAUGCGUAGCCGACCUGAGAGGGUGAUCGGCCACACUGGGACUGAGACACGGCCCAGACUCCUACGGGAGGCAGCAGUAGGGAAUCUUCCGCAAUGGACGAAAGUCUGACGGAGCAACGCCGCGUGAGUGAUGAAGGUUUUCGGAUCGUAAAGCUCUGUUGUUAGGGAAGAACAAGUGCAAGAGUAACUGCUUGCACCUUGACGGUACCUAACCAGAAAGCCACGGCUAACUACGUGCCAGCAGCCGCGGUAAUACGUAGGUGGCAAGCGUUGUCCGGAAUUAUUGGGCGUAAAGGGCUCGCAGGCGGUUUCUUAAGUCUGAUGUGAAAGCCCCCGGCUCAACCGGGGAGGGUCAUUGGAAACUGGGAAACUUGAGUGCAGAAGAGGAGAGUGGAAUUCCACGUG
This 641-nucleotide ribosomal RNA is filed under the name bacterium Ri.J15. RNAcentral's name for it is "bacterial SSU rRNA". It matches the Rfam family "Bacterial small subunit ribosomal RNA", at positions 50 to 675 of the family's 1533-position model. The record is from RNAcentral.